UACGUAGGUUGCAAGCGUUUUCCGGAUUUAUUGGGUUUAAAGGGUGCGUAGGUGGCUGAUUAAGUCAUGGGUGAAAGCCCGCAGCUCAACUGUGGAAUUGCCUGUGAUACUGAUUAGCUUGAGUGCGGUUGAGGCAGCUGGAAUUGGUGGUGUAGCGGUGAAAUGCAUAGAUACCACCAGGAACACCGAUUGCGAAGGCAGGUUGCUAAGCCGUAACUGACACUGAGGCACGAAAGCGUGGGGAGCAAACAGG
RNAcentral lists this ribosomal RNA (253 nucleotides) under uncultured bacterium. RNAcentral's name for it is "partial 16S ribosomal RNA". It matches the Rfam family "Bacterial small subunit ribosomal RNA", at positions 524 to 776 of the family's 1533-position model. The record is from RNAcentral.